This is a long non-coding RNA of Cyprinus carpio (common carp), 6498 nucleotides long. RefSeq lists it as uncharacterized. The record is from RefSeq and is a predicted model, not a curated record. The transcript has 7 exons. Lineage: Eukaryota; Metazoa; Chordata; Actinopteri; Cypriniformes; Cyprinidae.
UAUACCUGUUCGGACACAUACAACCCAACAUAACAAAUUAAAAACACAGUGCUACUAGAAUAUCAUGUCUGCAGCAAUAGAAUGUCCCAUUUAAAAUAAACUGGAUUUCACUGGAUAACAUAAAAUUUCAAGUGGUAUCUGAAAGCUAAAUUUAAAGCUACAUUUACUUUUCUGAGAUGUUUACAUAUAAGCAUAUCAACUGAUAUCAAGGUCAUUUUUACUGAAUGUAUGAUCUUGGAGGACUUCAAAACAUUACCUAUAUUGUACCGAUGUUUGAAAACCAGAAAGUGUAACGUAUUAGUAAAACUUUAAUAAUUAUUUACAUUAAAAAAAAAAUUAUUUUUGCUUUAAAUGUCUUUUUAACAUCUUACCUGUAAUUUAAACUCUAAGAAACCUUUUGUGAAAUGUUUUGCUAUUUUUAUAAUACUUUUUAGUCCCAAGAUAAUGCUGCACCUAAGAACACCAAUUUAGUUCUCAUCACUUCUUAAUUGCUUCUCAAAGAAGUUUUUAAAAACGUUUUUGACAACCACUGUAUGGACAAAAAAAAAAAUAUUCAGAAUAAAGUCUUCUUUUAUGUUCCACAGAAGAAAAUAAGUCACACAUGUUUGGAAUGACAUUACAUUGUUCUGUAAAUGAUGACAACAUUUUUAUUUUUAGUUGAAAUAUUCCACUAAUAUGUACUCACUUUAUGAAUCUUUCCUGGUUGCUCAUUAACACAAGAAUAAUAUCUUCUGUCAAAGCCAGUCAGUUUGCUCAGGCUGAUGGGCAGCAUGACUACGACCUCUAUUAAUAAAUGUGAACUGGCAGCUGCUCUUAGUUGCCAUAAGUACGCUUCAAGUAGACUUAACAAAUGUCUGAUUUGUCUGAUUGUCUGAGGUCUCGGAAGCAUUAUAUGGCUUUCCCGUUGCCAGGCCUCGCAGCGCUGCUGUUUAUCUCAGCGCUUUCUUAAAUGCUGUUUUUGGGCAUGCAUGGGUGGCUCCUCUCUGUCUACAAAAAUGAUUCAUGCCCACCAGCCAAAAACCCUGCUAUUAAUAUUUAUGUGUGUGUUGUGUUAUGAUGAGAAAUUACACUGCUCAGCUCACCCUCAUCUGUCUCAGUAGCAUUUCUGAGUAAUAUGUUAUGCUUAGACAUAAGGCAAAAGAUGCACACACACAAAUAUAAUACUACAUUAAGAUUAAUGUCAGAAAUCAACGUGUAUUCUGAUUAUUAAAGUGCUUUAUGCAGUGUUGCAUAGAACAGUAAACACAUCAUUUAAUAUCGACUUGUUUGUCAGCUCUGUUGUGGAGAGUGUAAUGUAUUGAAAUUAGCUUGAAAGUAACUUCUGCACGGAUCUGCAUCUGUAUUCAUCCAUAUAUAAAGAGGAAGUUAUGUGGAGAUGUAAGCGUAUGAGUGUGGCGACAGCAGAACUGAUUGGACUACAGUGAGUUGUAAAGAGAAUGAAUUAUAGAAUAUUCCAUUACUGAGAAGAAGUGGGGAGAUAUAAUGCUUUUAUUAGUGCUUUGUUUAUUGCUGCAGUUUGAGGGGGUAAUUUUGUUCUGUCGAUGCCUUAUUGAUUGAAAUUAUUUUCAAUCACUCUGUUCAUCACAGAGCUAUCAUAUGACUUCAGAAGGUGCUUUUUGAAAUGAUACAGCCCCAGUGUCCAUUUCUUUCAUUAUUUAGACAAUAUUUUUUAAUUUUUGUUCCCCAGAAGAAAUUCAUAUGGCUUCUUAACAACAUGAGGUUGAUGAUGACCGUUUUCAUUUUGGCUGGAACUAUCCCUUAAAGAACAUGAUAAAGAGUUAAUGAACUGGGUGUCCUGUGAAAGACCUUGUCAGUGUCAAUCCAGCUUGAAGCUACUGCAGGCAUUCUUAUUGAUUAAAAUUGCAGAGCUUUUUAAAUCCGCAUUCCCUGUCUUUGUUGUUGUUGUUGUUGUUGUUACUCUCCUGUAUUAUGACAAACCUCAAAAGACCUUCCCCUUCAGCAUAUUUAACCUAACUCAUUUUGUCUACUCUGUGCUUUCUUGUAUCCAAGUUACCGGAAUAGAUGACAAAAAAGACUAGAUAUUACAAAGAAAUAAUGAUAAUGAAAGUGAAUUAGCUCUCAGCACUAUGGGAGAGUACUGGAGCCCAAGGCGAAACACAGAGAAAUGUAUUCAUUAGUGCUCCAUCAUGCAGAUACCUUGAGCACUGCAUUGAUUCGUGUAAUACAGUGUUUGCUUUUUCAAAUUUCAGACACUCAAUAAGCCUACGGUGACCAUGCUACUUACCUGACAGGAUUAAAUAUGAUUUAAUUUAACCAUCGUCAUGCCAGAAUUCUCACAAAACAUAUUAAAAGUAUUGCGAAUUGAGGUGAUAAUGGACAUUAUAACAAUAUUAACAAAUAAAAAUAAUUGUUAAAAGGUGUUAUUUAAAGGUGUUAAUUUAUUGUUAUUUUAAUUACAUAAAAAAUGCAUGCAUGCAUUCAAAACAUUUUUUUUUAAUUAUCUGCAUUUUAGAGCUUUUCUUAGCAAAUAUUGAUAAAUGUUAGUGAUUCUCAACCUUUAGUGUCUUUCUGAUACUUCGAUAGUAUAAAAUAAUGGUCACACUUUGUUUUAAGAUCCAAUUCUCGCUAUUAACAAACCAUUAACUAUGACUUUUGCCUCAAUGAACUCCUAAUUUGCUGCUUCUUAAUAGUUAGUUGUUGAGUUUUGAGGUUUUGGGUAGGAUUAGGCAUGGAGAGUACGGUCAUGCAGAAUAUGUGCUUUAUAAGUACUAAUAAACAGCCAAUAUGUUAAUAAUAGGCAUGUUAAUAAGAAACUAAUUAAUAGUGAGAAUUGGUCUCUAUACUAAAGUGUUACCAAAAUAAUGAACUGUGAUUUAAUUUUGAUUACAGAAGAUUUAAGAACUGUUCUCUAUUUUAUACAACAGUUGUUGAGGGCACAAGUUAAAUUAGUAUGUUUCUUUUUUAAAUGCUAAACAACUUAAUUUUAAAUGAUGACUUAAAAAUUAAGUAAUCAAGUGUCCACCUAGUUGAGAAUCCAUUAUGUAUAUAUGCGAUGAAUAUGAUGCGACUGGUUAAUUGGAAUGUCAUGUUUAAAGAAUUAAAUAAUUAUUAUUUUAAAUCGAUUGACAGCCCUAUUUUUAAAAUUCCUUUUCAACUUGCCUUGCACUUUGUCACAUUUUUCCAGACUUUUUUUUUUUUUGUCCAUGAUAUUAAUUCGCUUAGUUGGUCUCAAAACAGGAAAAAAAAAAGCUGUAUUACAGGACAGAGAAAAUUUAAUAUUGUAUCCCUGGGAGAUCAUAAGAAUGUACUGGCAAGUUCAGAGACUGCUCAUGAUAUAUUGUUAAAAUCAUCCCUAGUGCCUAGGCCUUGAGCUCUCAAUUCCUGCCAAACUCAUUACUUUAUAAAAGAGGCAUUUGAGAAGCAGUCGUUUGUUUACAUUUUUGGAGGUACAUCAUGUGACCACCACAGGAGCUUUUCAGACUUAUGACAAUCUACGCAUUGAGAAUUCAGGUAGAUUACAUAUAAUCUACUUCCCGGUGAUGCCACCUGGCUUUAAUAUACUUCAAGUACCCAUGAUAGAUAACAUGUGGAGGAGUUUUCAGAGUUCUCUUGUUUACUUCUUUUUAUCUAAUGCAUGUCUGAUCUCUUAGGUGGCCCAGCAUAUGGAGACUCUCAGGAGAGACCCACCCUGAGGAGAAUUAAUAACAGACAAGGAAGCCAAUGAAGUCUGAGAGUGGUUUGCAUCAUCGUGUCCUACUGGUCCCCUGAGGACGCACGUUAAAGGGCCUAGAGAUGCGACCACACGUCAGAGCGCAACAUGAUGGCUGUCAUUCAGAAGUGAGACAAUGACUUCACUUGUGUCAUUACCCUGCUGAGAAGAAGACCUGAGACGUACCAGUGUCAACGGCACUGCCACGUUGCCAGCUUUAUCAUGGAGGAGUUCAACAGACUCCAGUAAUUGAGUUGUUUUUCAGCAUUCGCCUCAAGAAUAUCUAUAUUCCUCUCAGAAUUGCUAUUUUAUUUCUGUGCUUUAUGGGUUUCUUGUUGUUUUUGGUGUACGAAGCGAGUGAAAAAUCCAUCAGACUCGAUAGCUGACAGAUGCCACCCAACGAAAUAAAUACUAACUGGCUUUCAGUUGGCGCUGAAAUAUAGUACUUUGACGAUGGAAGUACUUUGGCUGUGUCAUUAGUAGAUGAAUGAGCUCCACAUCGCUGAUGGAAAUCAGUUCACAUUCCAACAGCUUGUGGAAAAUAUCUGCAAGGUCAAUGAUGAUAUUCAGUGUACCUCAUCUUUGCUGUUCCACAAACUUAAUUCCCCCCACUGAAAGCUCAAUGGGGUCGACAUCUUGAUGGGAAAGAGGAAGAGGCAAUGGAGGGUCAUUGCUCCUGAUAUAACACGUGAGGAACCAUCAAAAAAUGGCUACAGACUUAUUACCUUUGCACAGGCUCUCAUUUUUCUGUUCAUAACACUUAACAAGAAUCCUGGGGAGUGCCUGAAAACAUAUAAAACACUUCCACAGACGUUCACAAUCCACCUGAGAGCCCCUCACUGGGUAGAGUGGAUGUGUCAUGUUCCCCUGCCUCUGCUUUACAAGGGAACGGUUUGUUUCAGCCAGGUGGAGGUCAGAGACUAUUGCAUCAGCUUGGUAAAAACACAAGCUCAUAAGUGAAUAAAUGAGUCUGAUGAGUGAAAUAAAAGAUGAUUGCAGAACUGAAAGCACCACCCGUCUGGAGGGGCUUCCAAAAGCAGCUGCUCGGAUUGGCCGGUCUGCUUCAUUACUGUAAUUAUUUUCCCUCAAGUUUUGAAGACCUGAGGAUUUUCGACAUGUAGAGAGAGAAGGGCCAAACAAAGAUUUGGCUUAUUUUAGGACCUCUUUCAGAAAGCAAACAGCGCCGCCAUCAUGCUUUCCUGGAGUCUAUCCAUCUUUCCUGCAAGGAGACCGACACGACAGCCCCCCCAGCCCCCAAAAAAAGCCUGGUUGCGGGACAUGGCGGGUAAACAAACCUGCUCAGGGGGGCCAUUCUUUGCCCGGCACCUGCCACUAUUACUGGAGAGCAGGUGCAACUGUGUUCAUUAAGAUACACAUCAGGACACAGAAGUCCUUAAGAGCCGGUCGGGGGCACAUUUUGCGAGGCUGCCUUGCAAACACAACAUAGCAACAAGGGUUUGGACUCCAUAUAUAUCUCAGACUGAAGAUACAGAGGGCCAAUAUCAGGAAUACCACACUCAGGAUGAUGGCGGCACACUGAAGAGUGGAGCUCCCAUCGAGAGGCAUUCCAACCCAGCAGCACUCAGGACAGCAGAGGAAGGCUUUCUGAGCCAUAAAAAUAAAACAUAAACAACACUUCGGAGAACUGGGAUGACAUUAGAAGGCCAAAGAAAACAAUGCGAAACACUCAGCCAGUACAGAAGAUCAGAUCAAGGAGAUACAGUAGGGAGAGCUACCAGUUAUUACCUACUACAAAGAAAGAGGGUGAUUAACUUAUUUGUCGUUUCCAUUCAGACAAAUAAGGCAUGGCUGUGAACACUUUCUUUUCACCUAAGUUUUCACCGUGAUGCACAUUAAUAAUAUUUUUCAGAUUUAUCAAGCUUAUCAUCGCUAUUUCCACUGUUGCUUCAUGCACUGUUAUGUGAACCGCAAGCUUGUGUUGUUAAUUAAUGGGAACACAGACACAACCACGCUGUUUCUGAGAAAUCAUCAGCAACUCGCCAUCUGCAAACGCAUGUUUGUCGAUGUCACACAUUGUUAUGCUUCUCGAGAAAGUAGUUAAGAACGCUAACUUAAGUUCCUCUUUGAACUCUGUUAAUUUCAGAUUUUUCUCCAUGAAAAAAACAAAACUGUUUACUUAAACUUGAAUCGUCGCUUUCCAUGUCUGAUUGUGAAGGGAGUUUUGUUUGCUCAUGAUGAAGCUUUGCUCUCCUACUCAACAACGUGCAGCACAAGAACCUCCUCUUCUCAUCUUCUCUUUUCUAUUGCCAAGGCUGCUUCUGUCAAAGAUUCACAAAAGACACCCACUCACACUACCAAUGGAGAGCACAACGAGAGCCUGCUGUUUCUAAAGGACUUGGCUGAUGUCACCUGCUCAUGUGAUGAAGGGCAUGGAAAGGAGGAUGAAGAGCUCAUCUCUAGCCAACAAAAGUGAAACUAUUCACCGCAGAAUUCAUUUUGCUGUGUUCCUCUACCGUAUGCAGGACAGAAAAUAAGCAUAUUUCAAUCUCUUAUGUGACCAUGAAUCUUACAAGCAGUGCUAGAAAAUGAUAAAAUGGCUUUUCGGUUGGCCAAUUUAGCACACACAAGGUUGAAUAUUACAAUUUUACUUCAGAUGAGAGCAAUGAUAAAGCAAGAUUAACAAGCAUCCUUCACUAACCUAAUAAAAUAAAGGCAUUCAGAUGGAGACAGGGUCUGAAAUAAUUGCCAUUAAAGUCUAAUUGGCAUUAAAGCACAAUGAUGUUAUUAAGAGAGCUCUAUGAAUCACGUUUCUCCAUUAGAUUCCUUGAUGCUUAAGAUGAAAUGUAAGUUUGAAAGAUGAGUACAGG